GAUGAACGCUGGCGGCGUGCCUAAUACAUGCAAGUCGAGCGAACGGACGAGAAGCUUGCUUCUCUGAUGUUAGCGGCGGACGGGUGAGUAACACGUGGAUAACCUACCUAUAAGACUGGGAUAACUUCGGGAAACCGGAGCUAAUACCGGAUAAUAUUUUGAACCGCAUGGUUCAAAAGUGAAAGACGGUCUUGCUGUCACUUAUAGAUGGAUCCGCGCUGCAUUAGCUAGUUGGUAAGGUAACGGCUUACCAAGGCAACGAUGCAUAGCCGACCUGAGAGGGUGAUCGGCCACACUGGAACUGAGACACGGUCCAGACUCCUACGGGAGGCAGCAGUAGGGAAUCUUCCGCAAUGGGCGAAAGCCUGACGGAGCAACGCCGCGUGAGUGAUGAAGGUCUUCGGAUCGUAAAACUCUGUUAUUAGGGAAGAACAUAUGUGUAAGUAACUGUGCACACCUUGACGGUACCUAAUCAGAAAGCCACGGCUAACUACGU
Molecule: ribosomal RNA, 496 nt
Filed under: uncultured bacterium
Lineage: Bacteria
Description: partial 16S ribosomal RNA
Rfam family: Bacterial small subunit ribosomal RNA
Source: RNAcentral